GAUGAACGCUGGCGGCGUGCCUAAUACAUGCAAGUCGAGCGAACAGACGAGGAGCUUGCUCCUCUGACGUUAGCGGCGGACGGGUGAGUAACACGUGGAUAACCUACCUAUAAGACUGGGAUAACUUCGGGAAACCGGAGCUAAUACCGGAUAAUAUAUUGAACCGCAUGGUUCAAUAGUGAAAGACGGUUUUGCUGUCACUUAUAGAUGGAUCCGCGCCGCAUUAGCUAGUUGGUAAGGUAACGGCUUACCAAGGCAACGAUGCGUAGCCGACCUGAGAGGGUGAUCGGCCACACUGGAACUGAGACACGGUCCAGACUCCUGCGGGAGGCAGCAGUAGGGAAUCUUCCGCAAUGGGCGAAAGCCUGGCGGAGCAACGCCGCGUGAGUGAUGAAGGUCUUCGGAUCGUAAAACUCUGUUAUUAGGGAAGAACAAAUGUGUAAGUAACUAUGCACGUCUUGACGGUACCUAAUCAGAAAGCCACGGCUAACUACGUG
Molecule: ribosomal RNA, 497 nt
Filed under: uncultured bacterium
Lineage: Bacteria
Description: partial 16S ribosomal RNA
Rfam family: Bacterial small subunit ribosomal RNA
Source: RNAcentral